GGUGAUGGUCUUGGGCAUGGGGGCGUUACAUUUAGUGGUAUCAGAGCAAGUUUAGUCAGUUCUCGGACUACAUGUUGUAUGUACGGAUUUUGCUAUACAUGCCAUAUGUAUGAAUUGUGAUAGUGUGACGACUUCUGACCUUUUUAAAUGAUUUUUAUAUAGUAAAUGGAUCCCGAUCCAGCUGUGGCAGAUGAAGUAGAGAGUAAUGUGCCAGCUCCGGCUGAAGGGGCAGCGCCGAC
Molecule: long non-coding RNA, 239 nt
Filed under: Gossypium barbadense (sea-island cotton)
Lineage: Eukaryota; Viridiplantae; Streptophyta; Magnoliopsida; Malvales; Malvaceae
Description: long non-coding RNA (GBAR_LNC005523)
Source: RNAcentral